Unclassified non-coding RNA from Callithrix jacchus (white-tufted-ear marmoset), 279 nucleotides. It matches the Rfam family "Metazoan signal recognition particle RNA". From Rfam's summary of the family: The signal recognition particle (SRP) is a universally conserved ribonucleoprotein. It is involved in the co-translational targeting of proteins to membranes. NCBI's taxonomy places the organism in Eukaryota, Metazoa, Chordata, Mammalia, Primates, Cebidae. The record is from Ensembl.
GCCAGGCAUGGUGGCACGUGCCUGUAGUCCCAGCUACUUAGGAGGCUGAGGCUGGAGAAUCGCUUGAGCCCAGGAGUUCUGGGCUUGAGUGCGCAGUGCCAGGUGUCCGCCCUAAGUUCAGCAUCAAUAUGGUGACCUCUCGGGAGUGGGUACCACCUGGUUGCCUAAGGAGGGGUGAACCGGCCCAGGUUAGAAAUGGAGCAGGUCAAAACUCCCGUGCUGAUCAAUAGUGGGAUCGAGCCUGUGAACAGCCUGCACUCCAGCGAGACCUCGUCUCUA